Molecule: long non-coding RNA, 3715 nt
Organism: Acinonyx jubatus (cheetah)
Lineage: Eukaryota; Metazoa; Chordata; Mammalia; Carnivora; Felidae
Exons: 3
Source: RefSeq, a predicted model, not a curated record
AAUGACAGAGGACAAAGAGGGUUAACCUGAAGAUGUAUUAAUAGAAACCAUCUAAUCUAAAGAAGAGAGAGCGUGCUGAGAAAAAGGUGAACAGAGCCUCAGAAACCCGUGGGAGAAUUUCAAAAGCUCUAACAUAUGGAUAAAUGUGUCCCAGAAGGACAGAGAGAAUGGAGCUGAAAAAUGGCUGAAAAUCUCCCAAAUAUGGUAAAAGACAUAAACUCAACAGAUUUAAAGUAGCUUAAUGAACUCCAGAACAAGAGAAAUUCAAAGAGAACCAUGAUUAGGCACAUCCCAGUCCCACUAACUGAAAACCAAAGAUAAAGAAACUCUUGACUGCACCCAGAGAGGAAAAACAUGUUGCACAUGGGGAAGAACGAUUAGAAAAAGCAAGCCCUUCUCAUCUCUGGAGGCCACGGACACUGAAACGACAUUUUUAAAGCACAUAAAGGUGGAAUUCAGGUGGCAUUCUUUAUCUAUGGAAAUUUUUGAUCGUGAAAAAAAGACAUUUACAGAAGAAGGAAACUGGAAGAACUUGUUGCCAAUGGACCUGCUCUGUAAGAAAUGCUAAAGCAAGUUCUUCAGUAUGAAGAGAAAUGAAAUCAGUAGGGAACUCAGAGCUUCAGGGAUGAAUGAAGGCGACUGGAAAUGGUAAAAGGAAACAGAUAUUUUAAUACAUGCGCUUCAUUGGUAGAUCAAAAGCAACUAGAGAUGCAAUGCUUCAGAACGCAGAUGGCAGACUUGCCAGGCAGCCAUUCACCCUUAUGUGACAGCCUCUGCUUACGCUGAAGCUUGUUUUAGUCCAGGUUCACAGACAUUCUAUCAAAAUGGCACACGUUUCUCUGUGGCUUCUGUGAAAGACCAAUGGAGGAAGUGCUAGAAAACGAGGCCAAAGCAGCACCGUGGGCAGUGGUGCAGAUUCAAGGACACACUGUGAUUGUGGAACAAAAAUGUACUUCUGAGGCCUGUCCAAUUUCACUACUAAACACUUGAAGAAAAAAAGUGGCAGCUGAGUUUUAAGAUGAAUCUGUACAUCAAUAACAGCUAUAGGAAAAGACCCCAAGACCAGAAAUGCCAGCUACCAUGGGUCUCGCCUCUCCCCCCAUGUCUUCCUAACUCUAGCUGCCUACCAAAACCCCUGAUCCGGACAAAACACACCCCUCUACUACCCCAUCUCUACACUGAUCCAAGUUUCUGACCACACUUAAAGCCCAAUUUGAACUGCUAUAAUUUUUUGUUCCCCAAACUCCUUGUGGCCUUUUACCCAACCUCUCCCCAGCACUUCUGAUUGUUUAAAUAAUAAAAUAAAAUAAAAUAAAAUAAAAUAAAAUAAAAUAAAAUAAAAUAAAAUAAAACAAAACAAAACAAAACAAAACAAAACAAAACAAAACAAAACAAAACAUUCCCCUGCCUCUCUAAAUCUUUAUCAACACUCUUGACCUUAUUUUCUUCCUCCAGCAUCAGGGUCCUGCUCCACAAGUUUCCCCUCCUUUUUCCUAUCAUCAACUAAUUCUCCUCCAGGGACCUUUCUCCCACCUUACAAACUUGCUCACUGUGCCUUGUCCUAGAAGCAAACAAAAACAGAUCAAGGACACUACCAUUCGCCUUCCAAUCUCACUUCUCAAUGCUGUCUGCUUUCCCCCACAACUAAAUGUUUUUCCUCAACUUUUUUCCUGACAAAUUUGGUGAAGGUGGGAUCCUCUCUCACUGCAGGACUUUCCCACUUGUCAGGUCAUGCCCUCGCCUGGUCUCUGUGAUCUAGGCGUAUGCAUUCAGCACUUUAACAGACCAGUUCUCUAAAGGAUUGUUCAUCACCUCCCAGGAGUCCAUUAUCUUUGGCCUAUUUUCAGGCUUCAUCCUCUUUGAACUCUCUACAAUUAAUAUUCGGCACUGCUGGUGACCCCUCUUUCUAGAAAUUUCCUACUGUUCAUUCUCUGAUGCUGAGCUUUCCUAGUUUUUUCCCUGAUGUUUGUAUCUUUUUCUUAGCUUCCUCUUUUUCCUCUUGCUCCUUAUUCCUUAGCUUAUUUUAUAUAAUUUCAUUCAUUCUAUGGCUUCAGAGCUAGACUUUUAUGCUAUCUUAAUUUCCUUCCUCCAAUUCCUCUCCCCAUUCUGGGUGCCAUCAUUGCACUGAGUGACCCCUAAGGUGAGAAAUUCAAUGGGCUCGUCCAGGCCUCAUUUUACUGGACUCCCUUCCACAGGUUCAGACAUUGCUGGCCACUGUGUUCCUUUCCUUCUGCUUCUUUGACAUGUUAUUCCAUCACUUCCUUUAAUCUUUCUGGCACCUUCCCUGAUUCUUGUGCGAACCCUUGCUUUUCUGCCCAAACAUUAAAUGUUACAGUUCUUCACGUCAGUCUCUCCUCUUCCAACUGAGAGCUUACUUCCGGCUUCAAUUACAUGAACAUAUGGAAGACUCACAAAUGUAUACUGAUAGUCUACACAACAUGCUACUGUUGUUUAGCAUUAGUAUUGUUAUAACCAUCUCCUAUCCAUUCUAAUUGGAGGUUGGGCAUAAAUAGGGAAUUUAUGUCAUUUACAAAAUUAAUGUUAUUGAUUUAACAAGUGUGAACACUGGUUUUCAGAAUGGAACAAAUUGUUUUCUGACGAUCUCACUGUUUGACUGUCCAGUGCCACAACUGGUGUUUGUAAUAAUGACUGCAGUUUUAAAGAAUAGCCUCCUGCUUGAUAAAGUCUGUGUUUUAUGGAAGGAUGUUUGUAGUUUUAAAAGGUUUUUAUCCACAAAGUUUAACAAAUUUUAAAGUUCUAGGUAUUCAACCUCAAUGACUUCACUUUUGGACCAAGCUAUACAAAGGAGGUCUUGCUGAAUAUUAUCACGUAAAUAUUGGCACUGACCAUACAGGAAAUAGGAUGCAUAUUUCAAUGACUUUUCUUUGAAGGAUGUAGAGGAUUAUUCAUAUUGAAAAGCAAAAUUGGUUCAUAUUCUGGUUUGUAUGGCCAGUAAUUAGGCAGUAAAACUACUUCAGCUGAAAUCUAAACAGACUUGACAUAUUUCAGAAAAAAGUACCAAGAAAAUGAAACCUACCCCUGGAGUAUUAUUUUAACAUAUAGCUUCAAUGAUACAAAGUGAGUAACUCUGCCUUUUUAAGAGAUUAAAUCAUGAUCAUUAGACUUAUUACAGAUAAGGCCCUGCUAUGAAGAUAAAUGUGGUCAAAUAGACAACAAUAAAAAUCAUCCAGAGGCCUAAAGAGAUUGACUGCUGGGAAGAAUCAAACACAGGAAAGCACACAAGAGCCUGAGCCACUUUCCAAAAUGCAAGCAACUAUACGAUUUCACUGUUCCCAUACCUGCGGUGGGGGAAUUUGCGUGAUGAGACUUUUUUGGCAGGUUGAAGAUCUGUUCGCCAGGGUCGGGGGGAGGGAUCGCAUCUUGCCCUUGCCGCGCUUCUACAGGAUCAUACUCCUUCCCAUCGUAGUUAGCAUCAUAGAAUUUCUUAAACCAUUGAAUGAAAUCCAGGUUGUCCUGGAAACGCCCCUUCACCAGCUUCUCCACUGGGAUCACCUGCAAUAUAAAAUCGCCAUGUGAGUCGUGAACCCGUUUAUGAGUAUUUGGCACAACUGAAGCAUUUCCUAUAAACUAUUUUCUACGGGUCAGGGAUUAUUUACUGGUCUCCCCCUCAGCUUCUUGGCCAGCUGUAUUCUAGAAUUCACCUAUUUUUUUUCAUCAUAUGCAAGCAAAAUUAAAAUAAAAUGCUGUAGGUGUU